RNAcentral lists this unclassified non-coding RNA (134 nucleotides) under uncultured fungus. RNAcentral's name for it is "sequence contains ITS1". The record is from RNAcentral. Lineage: Eukaryota; Fungi.
ACGAGAUGCGGGUCCUGAACCCACAGCUCCCACCCCCCUGCGUACCCACUUUGGUCCCUUUGGCGAGCAACCGUCAGAGGGGAACCGUCAAUCUUCGCUACCUUGUUAGGAGUCCGAGUCCUUAGCAAAAUGAA